GUCAACAGUGCCUAACAGAGACGUGACCGACCGCAUAAACCGAUCAGUGGCGAAGAGGAAAAAAGUAAAAGUUUACUAUAAACAAAAAUUAAUUCUCAUCAAUCACCUGGACUCCAGGUGAUUGAUGAAGUAACGAAGCGAAGCGUGUGUGUCGGACUGGAUCAUUAUCCUCGCCUCCAGUCCGUUUAAACAGUAAAUCUCGACGGACGUGUCAGUCUUUACUCCAGCUGUGGCAAACGAUAUAUAUCAUUUUAUCAUUACAUAAACCUACAAACAUUUAGAGUUUACAUACCACACGAUGGAAAUCAACUGCUCUUGUGCUUCAAGAAAUGAAGAUAUUAGAACCCAGGAAUUAUGGAUGAAGUUUUCCAAAUGAAGCAAACAUUGGGACGGACAUCUAAAGAGGUUUCAGGUAAACCUUGGCCAGGUGGCCUUGGAGGUAGAGGCGGGAGGCAGCUAGGGAGCGGAUGGCCAGUGUGAGCAUCUCUGCAGCAUGUUGGGUGAGGACUGGUAACUCCGCAGUCAGCAGGCUAUUGAGGGACAUGUAGGCUCCCUUCACCUCCAUAUCCUCAUCUUCCUGAACAGAACGUGGGAGUACCUACAAACAUUUGGAGGAUCCUAUUGCAGGAGUCUAAAGUGACUUCCCUGAUGACUUGGAUAUGGAGUGCUGGUGGUAGGAGGUCGGCCAGGCUCUCGGAGAUGAUCAAUUCGGCCGUGUGUCUGGUGCGUACCGCCUCCAGCAGUGAUUCUGUAUGGGUUACUAGCGCCCCAGCAGCCCAUUGAACACUUCGAAACUUCGUUACCAUCUUGUCAAAGUUCAACCACUCCACUUUCCCACCAUCUCAUACCUGACCGAUGAUACCCAGCUUCUGGGAGAGUAUGGUAGACAUCCUCGCAGACUUCUUGGCGAUUGAAUGAAGGUUGACGCGUCGUAUCUUGCCAUGGAGGGAGUCGUCGACAUCACUCCGUAGAGGGAGGACCUCAACACUGUAAGUGGAGCAGUACACCUUAUAGACCUGACACAGCUCUGACUUGAACUGCAGGAACACCCACCCAAUCAACAUGUCUUCAUCACUAUGCUGCUGUUCUUGUUCCAGCUUGUU
Long non-coding RNA from Homarus americanus (American lobster), 1103 nucleotides. RefSeq lists it as uncharacterized. Lineage: Eukaryota; Metazoa; Arthropoda; Malacostraca; Decapoda; Nephropidae. The transcript has 5 exons. The record is from RefSeq and is a predicted model, not a curated record.